CCUACGGGGGGCAGCAGUGGGGAAUCUUCCGCAAUGGGCGAAAGCCUGACGGAGCAACGCCGCGUGAAGGAAGAAGGUUUUCGGGUCGUAAACUUCUUUUAUGAGGGAAGAGCAGAAGACGGUAUAUCUGGAAUAAGCCACGGCUAAGUAAGUGCCAGCAGCGCCGGUAAUACGUAGGUAGCAAGCGUUGUCCGGAUUUACUGGGUGGAGAGGGCGGGUAUCCGGGGUUGCAAGUCAGGUGUGAAAUUCCGGGGCUCAACCCGGGAGAGGCAUUUGAAACUGUUGGUCUUGGGUAUCGGAGAGGCGAGCGGAAUUCCUUGUGUAGCGGUGAAAUGCGUAGAUAUUAGGAGGAACACCAGUGGCGAAGGCGGCCUGCUGGUCGACAACUGACGGUGAGGCGCGAAAGCGUGGGGAGCAAACAGGAUUAGAUACCCUUGUAGUC
Molecule: ribosomal RNA, 442 nt
Filed under: uncultured bacterium
Lineage: Bacteria
Description: partial 16S ribosomal RNA
Rfam family: Bacterial small subunit ribosomal RNA
Source: RNAcentral